ACAGCUCAAAUUUGAAAUCUGGCCCUCGGGUCCGAAUUGUAAUUUGUAGAGGAUGAUUUUGGUGCGGUAUCUUCCGAGUUCCUUGGAACAGGACGCCUUAGAGGGUGAGAGCCCCGUACGGUUGAAUGCCUAGCCUCUGUAAAUCUCCUUCGACGAGUCGAGUAGUUUGGGAAUGCUGCUCUAAAUGGGAGGUAAAUUUCUUCUAAAGCUAAAUAUUGGCCAGAGACCGAUAGCGCACAAGUAGAGUGAUCGAAAGAUGAAAAGCACUUUGAAAAGAGGGUUAAAUAGCACGUGAAAUUGUUGAAAGGGAAGGAUUUGUGACCAGACUUUUUCUGGGCGGAUCAUCCGGGGUUCUCUCCGGUGCACUUUGCCCAGUAAAGGCCAGCAUCGAUUUUCGGCGGCGGAUAAAAGCAGUGGGAAUGUGGCUCCCUACGGGGAGUGUUAUAGCCCAUUGUAUAAUACGCUGCUGGGGAUCGAGGUACGCGCUUCUGCAAGGAUGCUGGCGUAAUGGUUAUCAAUCACCCGUC
Molecule: ribosomal RNA, 527 nt
Filed under: fungal endophyte sp. DM210
Lineage: Eukaryota; Fungi
Description: eukaryotic LSU rRNA
Rfam family: Eukaryotic large subunit ribosomal RNA
Source: RNAcentral